Molecule: long non-coding RNA, 1020 nt
Filed under: Taeniopygia guttata (zebra finch)
Lineage: Eukaryota; Metazoa; Chordata; Aves; Passeriformes; Estrildidae
Description: lncRNA (ENSTGUG00000026756.1)
Source: RNAcentral
AUGUGGGAAUGUGCGGAUGGGGCGGGAGGGGCUGGGCGGGGAACCCACGACAGGAGCACCCCGUGCGCUCCCCGCGGCGCUGGGGCUCGGAAGCCCGGUCCUUGUAGGCAUCCGGUGAGAGAAAAGGAAAAAGAGAAACGGGGAGCUGCACCCGGAGGUCUGGAGGGAGCAACCGAGCCGAGCCGAGCCGAGCCGAGCCGAGCCGAGCCGAGCCGAGCCGAGCCGAGCCGAGCCGGAGCCCUCACGGCUCCGCCCCCACCACGUGCCGCGCCCCGCCCUCACCCCGCCCUCCCUUGUCCGCACAGGGGCGGGGUCAACCACGCGGAGUGGCAGCGCCCUCAGCCAAUGGGCCAGCGAGAAGAGGCGGGGUGGGAGGAGUCACCACGAAGUGACAGCGCCAGUGACCAAUGGAGUGGCGAGAAGGGGCGCGGUGGGAGGAGCUGUCACGGACUGACAGCGCGCUCGCCCAAUGGAAAGGCGGGAAGAGGCGGGGCGGGGCGGAGGGCGCGGCGGGACCAAUGGCCGCGGCGGCCCCGCCCCGUUGGGCGCGGGGCGUGGCGGCCCCUCCCGGCGCGGUGCGAGCGACCGGCGCGGCCCGAGCGGCACCGGCACCGGGUGAGCGGCAGCGCGGGGCCCUUCCCGGCCCCUUCCCUCCCUUCCCCCCCCUUCCCCUCCCCUCCCUUCCCCUCUCUAACCCUUCCCAUCCGCGCUCUCCUCGCCACCUCCCGGCACGCCCGCAGAGCCGCGGCUGCCGUGCCCUGUGUGGCCCGGCCCUGCCGCGUCCCCUCCCGGUGCGGAGCCGCCCACCCGGGGGUCCUCCUGGCCGCGCCCCGCGCCCCCUCCCGGGUGGAUUCCCACGGCAACGCCCCUCCCGGGCGCGGGGUUUCCAUGGCGACGGCGGCUGCCGCCCCCCGUGCCGGUGCCGCCGCCGCCCUGGUGCUGACCGAGCGCUCUCCCGGUUCCCUCUCCCGCAGCCGCCGGCCCAGCCCAGCCCAGCUCGGCCCCGCGGGGCCCCGAUGA